GUUUUUGAUGGAUGCAAUACAUCUUAUCGGCAUUAUGUGAGCUUCUGAGAUGGCUGCCUCACUUGGAAGAUUAGAUGCCCAAAAUGUUUGUAUAGCUUAUGCAGCCCUCUGUUAUUAUCAGGUUAUCUUGAAUGAAGAGGAAAGAGUAUACACAAAUAAUAAAAUCAGAGGUAAGCUAGAAGUUCAGUGUAGUUGCCAGAUGUUAAAUUUUAGAUUAUCCUUUGAGCUUCUUCCUAUCUGAAUAUUUUUUCUGAGUAUUUGUUUAGAGAAUGCUGCAGUCUUACAGAACUUAUUCCAAAAGAUUUUUUAAGUAUGGAAAAAGUCAGCAACAGCCAAUAAUUUUUAUGGAGGUAUUGCUCAGUUGGCUUUUCUUCAGCCCAAAUAAGUACACACCUCUGUUUUACUCAGAGGAGGUGCGUGUUUGAAGAGAAGUGGGUGGAUUAAGAUAGCACAUCUUGCACGCCCUCUAACACCCAACACGUCACCGCGUGAUGGGGUGCAGCGUGGACCAACGCUGGAGUUUGGAAAUCAGAUGAAGUGCUGGCAGAAUGCUUGUCU
RNAcentral lists this long non-coding RNA (558 nucleotides) under Bos taurus (domestic cattle). RNAcentral's name for it is "long non-coding RNA NONBTAT008064". Lineage: Eukaryota; Metazoa; Chordata; Mammalia; Artiodactyla; Bovidae. The record is from RNAcentral.